Molecule: ribosomal RNA, 443 nt
Filed under: uncultured bacterium
Lineage: Bacteria
Description: partial 16S ribosomal RNA
Rfam family: Bacterial small subunit ribosomal RNA
Source: RNAcentral
CCUACGGGGGGCUGCAGUGGGGAAUAUUGGGCAAUGGGCGCAAGCCUGACCCAGCAACGCCGCGUGAAGGAAGAAGGCUUUCGGGUUGUAAACUUCUUUACUCAGGGACGAAGCAAGUGACGGUACCUGAGGAAUAAGCCACGGCGAACUACGGGCCAGCAGCCGCGGUAAUACGGAGGUGGCAAGCGGUAUCCGGAUUUACUGGGUGUAAAGGGCGUGUAGGCGGGGACGCAAGUCAGAUGUGAAAACCACGGGCUCAACCUGUGGCCUGCAUUUGAAACUGUGUUUCGUGAGUACUGGAGAGGCAGACGGAAUUCCUAGUGUAGCGGUGAAAUGCGUAGAUAUUAGGAGGAACACCAGUGGCGAAGGCGGUCUGCUGGACAGCAACUGACGCUGAGGCGCGAAAGCGUGGGGAGCAAACAGGAUUAGAUACCCUUGUAGUC